Mustela erminea (ermine) is the source of this 922-nucleotide long non-coding RNA. RefSeq lists it as uncharacterized. The record is from RefSeq and is a predicted model, not a curated record. The transcript is spliced from 4 exons. Lineage: Eukaryota; Metazoa; Chordata; Mammalia; Carnivora; Mustelidae.
AGUGCUCCCUCUGCUGGGGACUAAGCGAACUGCGGUUUGUCCUUCCCAUGGAAUACUACUCAGCAGUAAAAAGGAGGGAACUAGCCACACACGCAGCAACACCGCUGAAUCUCAGAAAGAAAAUACUAAAUGACGAAAGCCAAUCUCAGGACACAUACUUCAUGAGUCCAUUUCUGUGAUAUUCUGGAAAAGCAGAGGCCUGAGCUCGCCUGGAUGCCAUUUGGGGAUAUGACCAGCAGGGGGCGCCCCAGGACAGCCGACUUCUUUGGACGGGUCCACAAGGAUCACCCAGAAAUCCUGUCCUUCACACACUCAAGAGGAGUGUCCCUGCUCUUCCUCUUUUCCCAAAGCCCAGAUGGUCAGAUGUCUUCUGUAAAUCAUGUUCAGACGAGCCCUUAUGCACGUGACACUCUUCUCCAGGCCCACCAGCCCUCUGGAACAAGUCCUGCUCACCAGGAGAAGCUUUUCCAAGACGACUGGACAGUCUCAUUAACCAAGCAGGCAGGGCUGGGGCUGACUGGCACGGAGAGCCCGCAGCGGCAGCUGGCUGCUAUUCCCAGCACUGGCCCAGGGCCGAGGCCAUCAGCCCGGGGGGCUCCACGAGGGAGACGUGAACAAAGACGCAGGUGGAGAAUUCCGGGGAUCGCACAAGCAGAUGUCAUGAUGAUCGGAACAACGCUUGCAUUCGUACAGCAUCCUACAGUUUACCAAGGCCCUUUCCUUGCCAGCAAUCUGAUUCAGUCAGAUUAGUCUCCCCCCACCUGUGAGCGGCUGCCUUGGAUUCCACUGUGAAACUCAACUUGCUCCAGCCGUUACUGCUCCCCUCCUGCCCCUUCCCAGAGGCAGCACUUUCCAUGCCCCGGAACAGAACGUCGGGGAGGAGAAGCUGAAGCAGGAGCUGGUGUCUCUCCGGCCGGUCACU